UACGUAGGGAGCAAGCGUUAUCCGGAUUUAUUGGGUGUAAAGGGUGCGUAGACGGGAAGGCAAGUUGGUGGUGAAAUCCCUCGGCUUAACUGAGGAACUGCAACCAAAACUAUCUUUCUUGAGUGCUGGAGAGGAAAGUGGAAUUCCUAGUGUAGCGGUGAAAUGCGUAGAUAUUAGGAGGAACACCAGUGGCGAAGGCGACUUUCUGGACAGUAACUGACGUUGAGGCACGAAAGUGUGGGGAGCAAACAGG
Molecule: ribosomal RNA, 253 nt
Filed under: uncultured bacterium
Lineage: Bacteria
Description: partial 16S ribosomal RNA
Rfam family: Bacterial small subunit ribosomal RNA
Source: RNAcentral